Molecule: ribosomal RNA, 495 nt
Filed under: uncultured bacterium
Lineage: Bacteria
Description: partial 16S ribosomal RNA
Rfam family: Bacterial small subunit ribosomal RNA
Source: RNAcentral
GACGAACGCUGGCGGCGUGCCUAAUACAUGCAAGUAGAACGCUGAAGGAGGAGCUUGCUCUUCUGGACGAGUUGCGAACGGGUGAGUAACGCGUAGGUAACCUGCCUGGUAGCGGGGGAUAACUAUUGGAAACGAUAGCUAAUACCGCAUAACAGUAGAUGUUGCAUGACAUUUGCUUAAAAGGUGCAAUUGCACCACUACCAGAUGGACCUGCGUUGUAUUAGCUAGUUGGUGGGGUAACGGCUCACCAAGGCGACGAUACAUAGCCGACCUGAGAGGGUGAUCGGCCACACUGGGACUGAGACACGGCCCAGACUCCUACGGGAGGCAGCAGUAGGGAAUCUUCGGCAGUGGCCGGAAGUCUGACCGAGCAACGCCGCGUGAGUGAAGAAGGUUUUCGGAUCGUAAAGCUCUGUUGUAAGAGAAGAACGAGUGUGAGAGUGGAAAGUUCACACUGUGACGGUAUCUUACCAGAAAGGGACGGCUAACUACGUG